Molecule: ribosomal RNA, 406 nt
Filed under: uncultured bacterium
Lineage: Bacteria
Description: partial 16S ribosomal RNA
Rfam family: Bacterial small subunit ribosomal RNA
Source: RNAcentral
AUUGAACGCUGGCGGCAGGCCUAACACAUGCAAGUCGAACGAGUGGCGGACGGGUGAGUAAUGCUUGGGAAUCUGCCUUAUGGAGGGGGAUAACUACUGGAAACUGUAGCUAAUACCGCAUACCAUCGGAUGUGCCCAGAUGGGAUUAGGUAGUUGGUGGGGUAAAGGCUCACCAAGGCGACGAUCCCUAGCUGGUCGGAGAGGAUGACCAGCCACACUGGAACUGAGACACGGUCCAGACUCCUACGGGAGGCAGCAGUGGGGAAUAUUGCACAAUGGGCGCAAGCCUGAUGCAGCCAUGCCGCGUGGAUGAAGAAGGCCUUCGGGUUGUAAAGUACUUUCAGCAGGGAGGCGUUACCUGCAGAAGAAGCACCGGCUAACUCCGUGCCAGCAGCCGCGGUAAUAC